CUACAAUGAUGGUAAAUAUUUUUCGUCAACAGAGUUCACUUAGUGAGUGUUGACACAUUGGGUCUGAGUAA
Small nucleolar RNA from Dipodomys ordii (Ord's kangaroo rat), 71 nucleotides. Ensembl annotates it as predicted gene, 23650. NCBI's taxonomy places the organism in Eukaryota, Metazoa, Chordata, Mammalia, Rodentia, Heteromyidae. The record is from Ensembl.